Molecule: ribosomal RNA, 254 nt
Filed under: uncultured bacterium
Lineage: Bacteria
Description: partial 16S ribosomal RNA
Rfam family: Bacterial small subunit ribosomal RNA
Source: RNAcentral
UACGGGGGGAGCAAGCGUUGUUCGGAUUUACUGGGCGUAAAGGGCGCGUAGGCGGUCGUGACAAGUCACUUGUGAAAUCUCCGGGCUUAACUCGGAACGGUCAAGUGAUACUGUCGGACUAGAGUACAGAAGGGGCAACUGGAAUUCUCGGUGUAGCAGUGAAAUGCGUAGAUAUCGUAAGGAAGACCAGUGGCGAAGGCGAAUCUCUGGACAGUUACUGACACUGAGGCACGAAGGCCAGGGGAGCAAACGGG